GGUCUAAUAGUGUAGAGGUUAGCACAUGGGAUUUUGAUCAUGAGUAAUUUCAUAGUUGUAUAUUCCCAUAACCCAGGUUCGAGUCCUGGUUAGACCU
This 97-nucleotide transfer RNA is filed under the name Lentinula raphanica. It matches the Rfam family "tRNA". From Rfam's summary of the family: Transfer RNA (tRNA) molecules are approximately 80 nucleotides in length. Their secondary structure includes four short double-helical elements and three loops (D, anti-codon, and T loops). Lineage: Eukaryota; Fungi; Basidiomycota; Agaricomycetes; Agaricales; Omphalotaceae. The record is from Rfam by way of RNAcentral.